RNAcentral lists this ribosomal RNA (1251 nucleotides) under Triticum aestivum (bread wheat). RNAcentral describes it as "partial small subunit ribosomal RNA". The record is from RNAcentral. Lineage: Eukaryota; Viridiplantae; Streptophyta; Magnoliopsida; Poales; Poaceae.
AUGGCUGUCGUGAAUUUUGUCAAGCCGCACAUUGGGCAGAGCCCAAAGCUACAGGGGCGUACUCCGAGGAGGGGCAGCGGCGUGGUCAGGAGCUCGCUGCAGGGCGCCGUCGUCGGGAACAGGGCGGAGUGGCUGACCAGCUGCGCGGUGCUCUCCAGCAAGGUGGCCGCGCUCGCCCCCCACUCCACCAACGGACACCUCGCGCUGGCGGUGGCGGCUUCGAACGGGGCGGUGCUGGACUUGGUCCCUGUGAAGACUGUUGAUGGCAGCGCACGCAGCCUGCCGGCGCCCCUGCGGAUCGCGGACCUGUCCCCGGCGCCCAUGCACGGCUCGGAGCUGCGCGUGGCGUACCAGGGCGUGCCUGGGGCGUACAGCGAGAAGGCGUCCGCAAAAGCCUACCCGGGCUCCGACGCCAUCCCGUGCGACCAGUUCGAGGUGGCUUUCCAGGCCGUGGAGAACUGGGUCGCGGACCGCGCCGUGCUCCCCGUGGAGAACUCGCUCGGCGGCAGCAUCCACCGCAACUACGACCUCCUGCUCCGCCACCGCCUGCACAUCGUCGGCGAGGUGCAGCUCCCCGUGCACCACUGCCUCCUCGCGCUCCCGGGCGUGCGCAGGGAGGACAUCACCCGCGUCAUCAGCCACCCGCAGGCGCUGGCGCAGUGCGAGCACACGCUCACCCGCAUGCCCGGCCUCAACGCUGCCCGCGAGGCCUUCGACGACACGGCCGGCGCCGCCGAGUACGUGGCCGCCAACGGCCUCCGCGACACGGCUGCCAUCGCGUCCUCCCGCGCCGCCGAGCUGUACGGCAUGGAGGUGCUCGCCGACGGCAUCCAGGACGACUCCGGCAACGUCACGCGGUUCGUGAUGCUGGCCCGGGAGCCCAUCGUGCCGCGCAUGGACCGCCCCUUCAAGACCAGCAUCGUGUUCGCGCACGACAAGGAGGGCACCUCCGUGCUCUUCAAGGUGCUAUCCGCCUUCGCCUUCCGUGACAUCAGCCUCACCAAGAUCGAGAGCCGGCCGCACCGGCCCAUCCGCCUUGCCGACAGCAGCACCGCCCCGAAGCAGUUCGAGUACAUGUUCUACGUGGACUUCCAGGCCUCCCUCGCCGACCCGCGCGUGCAGAAUGCACUCGCUGAGGUGCAGGAGUUCACGUCAUUCUUGCGGGUGCUCGGGAGCUACCCCAUGGACAUGACACCUAUGGCUGCCGGCGUUGCCUCAUCUGAAUCCUCGUCGGCUUAUUCGUCUUCUUGA